RNAcentral lists this ribosomal RNA (861 nucleotides) under uncultured bacterium. RNAcentral's name for it is "bacterial SSU rRNA". It matches the Rfam family "Bacterial small subunit ribosomal RNA", at positions 51 to 904 of the family's 1533-position model. The record is from RNAcentral.
ACACAUGCAAGUCGAGGGGCAGCAUGAUUGAAGCUUGCUUCAAUUGAUGGCGACCGGCGCACGGGUGAGUAACGCGUAUCCAACCUUCCGUACACUCAGGGAUAGCCUUUCGAAAGAAAGAUUAAUACCUGAUGGUAUGAUGAGAUUGCAUGAUAUCAUCAUUAAAGAUUUAUCGGUGUACGAUGGGGAUGCGUUCCAUUAGGUAGUAGGCGGGGUAACGGCCCACCUAGCCUACGAUGGAUAGGGGUUCUGAGAGGAAGGUCCCCCACAUUGGAACUGAGACACGGUCCAAACUCCUACGGGAGGCAGCAGUGAGGAAUAUUGGUCAAUGGACGAGAGUCUGAACCAGCCAAGUAGCGCGAAGGAUGAAGGUCUUACGGAUUGUAAACUUCUUUUAUAAGGGAAUAAAACCUCCCACGUGUGGGAGCUUGUAUGUACCUUAUGAAUAAGCAUCGGCUAACUCCGUGCCAGCAGCCGCGGUAAUACGGAGGAUGCGAGCGUUAUCCGGAUUUAUUGGGUUUAAAGGGAGCGCAGACGGGUCGUUAAGUCAGCUGUGAAAGUUUGGGGCUCAACCUUAAAAUUGCAGUUGAUACUGGCGUCCUUGAGUGCGGUUGAGGUGUGCGGAAUUCGUGGUGUAGCGGUGAAAUGCUUAGAUAUCACGAAGAACUCCGAUUGCGAAGGCAGCACACUAAGCCGUAACUGACGUUCAUGCUCGAAAGUGUGGGUAUCAAACAGGAUUAGAUACCCUGGUAGUCCACACGGUAAACGAUGGAUACUCGCUGUUGGCGAUAUACGGUCAGCGGCUUAGCGAAAGCGUUAAGUAUCCCACCUGGGGAGUACGCCGGCAACGGUGAAACUCAA